RNAcentral lists this small nuclear RNA (19 nucleotides) under Arabidopsis thaliana (thale cress). RNAcentral describes it as "snRNA_13983". The record is from RNAcentral. Lineage: Eukaryota; Viridiplantae; Streptophyta; Magnoliopsida; Brassicales; Brassicaceae.
CCCGUGGGCCGAGCCAGUG